UCAGAAAGAGGAGAAGAGGAGAGAGAGAGAAGUCUAUUUUUUUUUUUCUAAUCCGGGAUCGUAAUUUAGAGGGAAAUUUUCUUACUUGAUGUCGAUUGAUAGUAGAGGCAGUUGAUUUAUGUUGUGCGUUUGAUAGCAUAAAAAUGGAUGCUGUAUGUGUAGAUAGCAGCAAACGGCGGUUGCCAAUAUGGAUGAUCGGUAUGGCUACUGCUGCUGACCCAGUUGGAAAAAAUUCUGAAUCCAAUAGAGAAGAACACGAGGAUGGGAAGGCUCUGAAAGGGGGUAAGUGUGGAAGAAAGAAGAAGCAGCAAAACAAUUUCAUUGGACAAGAUGGUGAUUCUCAUGAUGGGGUUAUAAGAAAUGCGGGCAAAAGGAAGAGUUCGUUAUCAAGGGUAGUUCCUAGAAAGCAUCGAACCGAUGAAGUAUGCAGUACUACUGGGACAAAGCGAAAAAGUAAAGCAAAAGCUUCAAGCAUUAUUGAGAAUGGAGAGGAAAUCGAAGGUUCUUUGACUGGCGAAAAAGAUGAGGAUUUGACUAUGGAAGACAUUAUGAGCAUUGCUAAAGAGGUGGCCUGUGGUAGCCACUCCAACUCAAAAGGGGAUUCGUCCGGAAGAAAGAAGAAAAGAAACUUCAUUGGACAAGAUGGUGAUUCUGGUGGACGUGUUAUAAGAAAUGGGGACAAAGAGAAAACUGAACAUCCUCCCCGAAAGCCAAAAAGUAAAGCAAAAGCUUCAAGCAUUGAGAAAGGAGAGAAAAUUGAAACUGAUGAGGAUUUGACUAUGGAAGAUUUAAUGAGAAUUGCCAAAGAGUAUGUCAAAGAAGAUGAAUUUGUUGCGCCUACACAAUCAUCAUCGAAAGGUCAAUCUGAAGAAAUUACUGAGUUACGAGGCUCAUGCCAUGGCUCUCGAUCUGCAGUAAUGGAAAGUGAAAAGUUGGUUCCAUCUUGUGUGUCUAAAACUAAAGAGAUUGUUGUUGAGCCAAAUAUGUCAGGGGAUCCUACUCAGGACAUGUUGGAUUUGUUUUUGGGUCCUCUGCUUAAGAGAACCCAAGAAGAAGAAAAGAAAACCAAUUUAAUUUCAGAGGAGAUGAGUUUUGCCUAUGAAAUCAAGAAACAAAAACAGAGUGUUGUUGUUAGGGAAGAACAGGCUCCUUUGACAAAGAAGAAGAGCAGUCUCAAGGACAAGGUUGCUAUGUUUCUGGACUGAAUGAUAUGAUACAUCGAAAUUCACUUGAAACUUGAAGUUUCAAUCACCUUCAUUGAGUAGAAUGGCGUCCAAACAGGGGCAAAGCAUAAGAGAAGUUUAAAAAGGAUUUCUUUCAAGCAGAAGAGACAAUGAGACAUUAAUCAGUUUGUUGUUAAGAGGAUUUCUUUCAGCCCGAGAAGAGCUUAAAUAAUUGUAAAAUUAUAUGAUCAGGCACUUCACUGUGCAUUGUUACAUUGUUCCUAUACUUUCUCAUUUUGAGUACUGGAAUAAACAUAUAGUUGCAUUCUGCUUCAUUGAUAAUCAGAUUAAGUUUCAUAUUGAGGAUUUAUUUCCUUAUACAUCUUUCAGGACAGCUGAAAAUUCCGGUAGUUUCUGAACUUUUUAUAGGCCAUGCUUCAUUAAAUGUCCCUCUGCACCUAUUACGGUAUUCAGAAGAUUCUAACCUUAAUAUACAGUAAAAAUGACAGAAAAUUGUCCAAUUAUAAGUAGAGUAAUAGUGGAAAGUUUUGCAGUAGUAAGGGAACGGAGGAAAAGCAGAAGUUAGCAGGACUACUAGUUUCUUGAACCUAGAGUUUGUGCACACGAUUGACGGUGAUUCUCUCCUUGGGACCUUGACAUCUUAUGAUGCGUAACAGAUGUCAAGGGAGUAUUGUAAAUCAUCUUUUUGGUAGAAACGUUUGUGCUAAUUUAGUCUAUGGGACAUGGAGAUAAAUUCGUUAUGUUGUAUCAUGACUUAGUGCCCGUUUGGUAGUGCUUUGGUUUUUGCCUCUACUUUUUGUAGAAAAACUUCCUAAAAAAGCUAUUUUAGGUCAACUUUCUUGAAAAACUCUUAUAGUCUUAAGAGACAAAGCGCUUCCUAAAAAUUAACCAAACAUAUUCAAAAGAGAUUUCUUAAUCUCAGAAGCAACUUUUGGUUUUUCAAAAACCUUGCUAGACAUGCCCCUAUUCUUUUACCAUGGCAAAGAAAUAAGAAAAAAGAAGUCUUUCACCAUUCAAAUUGCAAAGAAGUAAGAAAAGGAAGAAAUUGUAAAAUAUAACCGGUCUUUUAAUGUGCUUGCGUCUAUUACAAGUGAAUAUUCUCAUUCAAUGUCUUCAAACAAUUGUUUAUUAGGGAAUCUUAUUCCAGUUAGGUUGUCUCUGGAAUCAACUAAUUUUCCAUUAUUUUAGUUAUAUAAAAAUAAAUAUUUUAACAAAGAAAAAAUUAGAUGAUUUUGUAUCCAUUUGAAUUCUGAGAAGCAAUUAGGGAGUCCGGCUUGUGUUUUGAAAGGAAAUAUUUAAUUAAGAGGGAAAACUCAUGAACCACUACUCCU
This is an RNA transcript of Olea europaea var. sylvestris, 2515 nucleotides long. RefSeq lists it as uncharacterized. The transcript is spliced from 4 exons. The record is from RefSeq and is a predicted model, not a curated record. Lineage: Eukaryota; Viridiplantae; Streptophyta; Magnoliopsida; Lamiales; Oleaceae.